RNAcentral lists this ribosomal RNA (150 nucleotides) under uncultured eukaryote. Its description in RNAcentral is "partial small subunit ribosomal RNA". It matches the Rfam family "Eukaryotic small subunit ribosomal RNA", at positions 1651 to 1802 of the family's 1831-position model. The record is from RNAcentral.
CCCUGCCAUUUGUACACACCGCCCGUCGCUCCUACCGAUUGAGUAUACCGGUGAAUUAUUCGGAUUCCAGUUUUGGGUGGCAACACUCAAAGCCGGGAAAAGAUUUGUAAGCCAUGAUACUUAGAGGAAGGAGAAGUCGUAACAAGGUUU